Molecule: ribosomal RNA, 253 nt
Filed under: uncultured bacterium
Lineage: Bacteria
Description: partial 16S ribosomal RNA
Rfam family: Bacterial small subunit ribosomal RNA
Source: RNAcentral
GACGUAGGGCGCGAGCGUUGUCCGGAUUUAUUGGGCGUAAAGAGCUCGUAGGCGGCUCAUUGCGUCAACCGUGAAAGCCAGCAGCUCAACUGUUGGCUUGCGGUUGAUACGGGUGGGCUGGAGUUCGGUAGGGGAGACUGGAAUUCCUGGUGUAGCGGUGAAAUGCGCAGAUAUCAGGAGGAACACCGGUGGCGAAGGCGGGUCUCUGGGCCGAUACUGACGCUGAGGAGCGAAAGCGUGGGGAGCGAACAGG